UGGGGAAUUUUGGACAAUGGGCGCAAGCCUGAUCCAGCCAUGCCGCGUGCGGGAAGAAGGCCUUCGGGUUGUAAACCGCUUUUGUCAGGGAAGAAACGCUCUGGGCUAAUACCCUGGGGUAAUGACGGUACCUGAAGAAUAAGCACCGGCUAACUACGUGCCAGCAGCCGCGGUAAUACGUAGGGUGCAAGCGUUAAUCGGAAUUACUGGGCGUAAAGCGUGCGCAGGCGGUUAUGCAAGACAGAUGUGAAGCCCCCGGGCUCAACCUGGGAACUGCAUUUGUGACUGUAUAGCUAGAGUACGGUAGAGGGGGAUGGAAUUCCGCGUGUAGCAGUGAAAUGCGUAGAUAUGCGGAGGAACACCGAUGGCGAAGGCAAUCCCCUGGACCUGUACUGACGCUCAUGCACGAAAGCGUGGGGAGCAAACAGGAUUAGAUACCCAUGUAGUCCCUGAGCGGGCUGGCAAGGCGCAU
RNAcentral lists this ribosomal RNA (472 nucleotides) under uncultured bacterium. RNAcentral's name for it is "bacterial SSU rRNA". It matches the Rfam family "Bacterial small subunit ribosomal RNA", at positions 355 to 825 of the family's 1533-position model. The record is from RNAcentral.